AAUGAACGUUGGCGGCGUGGAUUAGGCAUGCAAGUCGAGCGAGAACCGUAGCAAUACGGGGACAGCGGCGAAAGGGACAGUAAUGUGUAGGUACCUACCCCCGGGUUCGGGAUAGCUGCGGGAAACUGCAGGUAAUACCGAAUAAUGUCCUCGGACCAAAGGUGUGAUUCCACCUGGGGAGGGGCCUGCGUCCUAUUAGCUUGUUGGUGGGGUAACGGCUUACCAAGGCGACGAUGGGUAGCGGGUGUGAGAGCAUGACCCGCGUCAUUGGGACUGAGACACUGCCCAGACACCUACGGGUGGCUGCAGUCGAGGAUCUUCGGCAAUGGGCGCAAGCCUGACCGAGCGACGCCGCGUGCGGGAUGAAGGCCUUCGGGUUGUAAACCGCUGUCGUAGAGGAGGAAAUGCAGGAGGGUUCUCCCUUCUGCUUGACCUAUUCUAGGAGGAAGUACGGGCUAAGUUCGUGCCAGCCGCCGCAGUAA
Molecule: ribosomal RNA, 482 nt
Filed under: uncultured bacterium
Lineage: Bacteria
Description: partial 16S ribosomal RNA
Rfam family: Bacterial small subunit ribosomal RNA
Source: RNAcentral